GACGAACGCUGGCGGCGUGCCUAAUACAUGCAAGUUGAGCGAUGAAGAUUGGUGCUUGCACCAAUUUGAAGAGCAGCGAACGGGUGAGUAACGCGUGGGGAAUCUGCCUUUGAGCGGGGGACAACAUUUGGAAACGAAUGCUAAUACCGCAUAAUAACUUUAAACAUAAGUUUUAAGUUUGAAAGAUGCAAUUGCAUCACUCAAAGAUGAUCCCGCGUUGUAUUAGCUAGUUGGUGAGGUAAAGGCUCACCAAGGCGAUGAUACAUAGCCGACCUGAGAGGGUGAUCGGCCACAAUGGGACUGAGACACGGCCCAAACUCCUACGGGAGGCAGCAGUAGGGAAUCUUCGGCAAUGGACGAAAGUCUGACCGAGCAACGCCGCGUGAGUGAAGAAGGUUUUCGGAUCGUAAAACUCUGUUGGUAGAGAAGAACGUUGGCGGGAGUGGAAAGCUCAUCAAGUGACGGUAACUACCCAGAAAGGGACGGCUAACUACGUG
This 497-nucleotide ribosomal RNA is filed under the name uncultured bacterium. RNAcentral's name for it is "partial 16S ribosomal RNA". It matches the Rfam family "Bacterial small subunit ribosomal RNA", at positions 28 to 507 of the family's 1533-position model. The record is from RNAcentral.